CCUACGGGCGGCUGCAGUAGGGAAUUUUCGGCAAUGGGGGGAACCCUGACCGAGCAACGCCGCGUGAAGGAAGAAGGAAUUCGUUCUGUAAACUUCUGUUAUAAAGGAAGAAAGACGGAGGGAGGAAAUGACAUCCGAGUGACGGUACAUUAUGAGAAAGCCACGGCUAACUACGUGCCAGCAGCGGCGGUAAUACGUAGGUGGCAAGAGUCAUCCGAAAUUAUUGGGCGUAAAGAGGGAGCAGGCGGCAGCAAAGGUCGGUGGAGAAAGACUGAAGCUUAACUUCAGUAGGCCAUAGAAACCGGGCAGCUAGAGUGCAGGAGAGGAUCGUGGAAUUCCAUGUGUAGCGGUGAAAUGC
RNAcentral lists this ribosomal RNA (358 nucleotides) under uncultured bacterium. Its description in RNAcentral is "partial 16S ribosomal RNA". It matches the Rfam family "Bacterial small subunit ribosomal RNA", at positions 338 to 689 of the family's 1533-position model. The record is from RNAcentral.